GAACGUUGAUUUGCGAGCCGCGCGAUGUGACAUCAUUAUCGUCGGAUAUCGUAACAAGCUGGCAAUUCACAUGAUUUUAUUAUUCUAUAAGUGUUCACAUACACAGAUCAGUCGACGAGUGAUGAAGCACGAAUUGCGCUCAAUAGUGACUGGAGUGCAACAUAUUAUUAUCGAAAUAGUAAAAGAAUUUAAAGGAGCAAUUUAUGUAAAAAUACGUGUACUUCAAUUUACGGCUGCCAAAGCAUCUGCAGCAUCAGAAGGGCAAAUGAACUGAAGAAGAGUAACAUCAUCCGCAUACAUGAGAAGUUUGGAGAAGACUGAAGACGGGUUAUAGAAGAUCACCGACGAAGAUUAAAAAGCAAAUGACCAAGAACAAAGCCUUGCGGUACUUUGGAGGGAACGUUGCGAUGGAA
This is a long non-coding RNA of Acromyrmex echinatior (Panamanian leafcutter ant), 413 nucleotides long. Lineage: Eukaryota; Metazoa; Arthropoda; Insecta; Hymenoptera; Formicidae. The record is from RefSeq and is a predicted model, not a curated record.